GUGGGGAAUAUUGGACAAUGGGCGCAAGCCUGAUCCAGCCAUGCCGCGUGAGUGAUGAAGGCCUUAGGGUUGUAAAGCUCUUUCAGUGGGGACGAUAAUGACGGUACCCACAGAAGAAGCCCCGGCUAACUUCGUGCCAGCAGCCGCGGUAAUACGAAGGGGGCUAGCGUUGUUCGGAUUUACUGGGCGUAAAGCGCACGUAGGCGGAUCGUUAAGUCGGGGGUGAAAUCCUGGAGCUCAACUCCAGAACUGCCUUCGAUACUGGCGAUCUUGAGUCCGGAAGAGGUGAGUGGAACUCCUAGUGUAGAGGUGGAAUUCGUAGAUAUUAGGAAGAACACCAGUGGCGAAGGCGGCUCACUGGCUCGGUACUGACGCUGAGGUGCGACAGCGUGGGGAGCAAACAGGAUUAGAAAACCGGGUAGUCC
RNAcentral lists this ribosomal RNA (425 nucleotides) under uncultured bacterium. Its description in RNAcentral is "partial 16S ribosomal RNA". It matches the Rfam family "Bacterial small subunit ribosomal RNA", at positions 354 to 796 of the family's 1533-position model. The record is from RNAcentral.